RNAcentral lists this long non-coding RNA (212 nucleotides) under Setaria viridis. RNAcentral describes it as "long non-coding RNA (SVIR_LNC008253)". Lineage: Eukaryota; Viridiplantae; Streptophyta; Magnoliopsida; Poales; Poaceae. The record is from RNAcentral.
CACCAUCCACGCAUGAGGAUAGAGUGAGGCCACUUCAUGUUGAGCUUGGCGAUCGUUGCAGUGGUAAUCUGGUGUAAGAUAGCGAUAUAUGCUAAUUUUGUUUGGAAAUACUUAUUCACUAUUCAGAAGAUAACAAUGCUGCCAAAUAUAACUUUUCUUUUUCUAGACGCGGUGCGUUACUUUCGCUUUCUCCUUUUAUCACUAAAUGAUAU